Molecule: transfer RNA, 71 nt
Filed under: Psettodes erumei (Indian spiny turbot)
Lineage: Eukaryota; Metazoa; Chordata; Actinopteri; Pleuronectiformes; Psettodidae
Also listed under: 1 other name
Description: tRNA-Gln
Rfam family: tRNA
About the family: Transfer RNA (tRNA) molecules are approximately 80 nucleotides in length. Their secondary structure includes four short double-helical elements and three loops (D, anti-codon, and T loops).
Source: RNAcentral
UAGGGGGUGGUGUAGCGGAAGCACAAAGAGUUUUGAGCUCUUUAGCAGAGGUUCGAGACCUCUCCCUCUAA